RNAcentral lists this long non-coding RNA (9064 nucleotides) under Nicotiana tabacum (common tobacco). RNAcentral describes it as "long non-coding RNA (NTAB_LNC001314)". Lineage: Eukaryota; Viridiplantae; Streptophyta; Magnoliopsida; Solanales; Solanaceae. The record is from RNAcentral.
UCAUUUGUAUUUUCUUUAUCUUUCCUGGUCACUAUAAAAGUGAGGCCCAUGUAUGUAAUAGGACAAUUAUUCAUUUUCAGAUAUACAGAAUAAUUGUUGCUCUCAAAGCUUUUGCUCUCAGUAAACAUGGCGUAAGGCCUGGUUCUCAAUCUUUCUUAUUCUUCUGCUUUUUUCUCAUGUUAACAUGGUAUCAGAGCCGAGAUCCUUCUAAAUCUCAUGCUGAGAGUUCGAUUGAUCCCACACUCAUCCUCCAUCGUUGGUUUUAUGUAUACUUCGUCCGAUUUUUGAUUUUUUGAGAUUCGUGGUUUGGUGGUGCUUUUCUGCUCGAUUUCUUCUCCAAUACCGUGUUCAACCAUCUUCUAUAGUGCAUAGCAGCAGUGAAUUUCAUUUUCAGACGAUUUCAAGGAUUUCGAUUGAAAUUAAGGUUUUGCUUGUAUCAGAAUUCUAUGAUGGCGGUUGAUAUUGAAGUGUUUUUCUGGUUGAAGGUCGUAGCUCUUUCCGGUUGCAAAAGAGAUUGGUAACAUCAACUUCAUCUUUCACUACAUCUUUGUAUUUCUACUUGCAUGACCUAGGUUCUCUAUAUAAUUGAUUGUCAAUCUGAUAACAUGGCCAGCGGAACUCCUGAUUCUUCUUCAACUCCAGCUAUUUCUCGCACUGUCUUCCAUGAGGAUGAUUAUACUCAUCCAUGUCAUCCUCUCUAUGUAUACCCAUCAGAUGUUUUGGGGACCUCGUUGGUCUCCACUCCGUUUGAUGGAACAGGAUAUGGACGUUGGAGGCGUAAUAUUCUUAUUGCACUUUCAAUUAGAAACAAACUAGAUUUUAUAAAUGGAAACUCCCAGAAACCUUCACCUACUUCACUCUUGCCAGACAAUGGCAGAGGUGUAAUGACCUUGUCAUUUCAUGGUUAGUAAACUCCUUGUCUAAAGAAAUAUCUCGCAGUGCGGAGUAUUCAGAGUUUGCUAGGCAAAUUUGGAAUUAGUUAGAAGAGAGAUAUGGUAAGGCUGAUGGUGUUAGAGUUUUUGAACUUAAGAAAGAGUUAGCACAUAUUUCCCAGGGGUCUCUUGACAUAGCCUCAUAUUUCAAUAAAAUCAAACAAUUAUGGGAUGAAAUAGCUUCCAUAUCUGCUGGUCAAACUAGGGUGUGUUCUUGUGGGGCUAAGUCUGCUGAAGAUGAGGAAUAGAGGGCUUAUCAGUUCUUAAUGGGUUUAAAUGAUACGUAUGUCCAAACCAGAAGCAAUAUUCUCAUGAUGAAACCACUUCCUUCAGUUGGAGCUGUGUAUAGCAUUCUAUUGUCUGAUGAGAAGCAGAGGAAUGUGUCUGCUGCAACUCAGUUUCCUUCUACUUCUGCAUCCUUUAAUGUUAGAGAGUCCAGGCAGAGUUACCCUUCUAAAGUGAAUUUUGAAUCAUCUAAACCAAAUGUCACCUGCAAGUACUGUAAGAAACCUGGACAUACUAUAGAAAAAUUCUACAAACUCCGUGGUUAUCCCCCAAGUUUCAAGUUCACUAAAACUCCUAACAUUAGAAAAACUGCUGCACAUGUUGAGCUCACCAACCAUCCUGAAUCUAGGACUGGUGACAUCCCUACUGAGCAUGGUACUCUUCCACAGUCUGAAGAUAUGUCUGCUAUCCCUGGGUUUACCAAGGAUCAGUACUCUCAAUUGAUGAUGUUACUUCAACAGUCACACCUGUCUCCUUCUCCAUCUACCUCAAGCCUAAUGGGGUCAGCCAAUUUUGCUGGUGAGUUAAUUCCUCCCGGUGUGUCUUAUGGUGCAUGUAUGUUGACCAAAGUGGAUCGUAUAGUAUGGAUCAUAGACUCUGGAACUUCUGACCAUAUGACUUCCACAAAAAGUUUACUCUUUAAUGUCCAAACCUUACCUGUUCCAUACCUUGUCUUUAUUCCAAAUGGUUAUAAAGUCAAGGUUACCAAUAUUGGGUCAUUGGCUCUAUUUCCUAAUUUGAUAUUGCACAAUGUACUUUAUGUUCCUAGUUUUUAGUAUAAUCUCAUUUAUGUCUACAAAUUACUUUCUCAUUCUGAUGACAUAGUACAGUUUACCAAGGCUGCUUGUACUUUAUAGGGCCCUUCAGUGAGGAAGCUAGUGGUACUUGGUAAGCUGGACAAUGAACUCUACAAGUUGUUCCAGUCUCUCAUUGCUCCUAAUCCAGAUUUUCCCCCUAAUCAUUCUGCUCUUUCAAAUAUUUCAAUUUCUAACUCUUCUGUUCAUGCUAAUGUAAUUGAUGAAUGGUCACCUGUAAAUACCAUAUCAGCUAUUGAUAAUAUGAAUAAAGCUGAAGUUGUUUGGCAUUACAGACUCAGUCAUAUUCCUUUCUCCAAGCUGAAAACUAUAUCUGCUUUAAAUUGUAAAUUUCCUCUUAAACAAUCCUUUAACUGUCCUGUUUGUCCAUUAGCCAGGCAAACAAGACCGUCUUUCCCUGAUAGUAGUAUACAGUCCACUCACCCAUUUCAGUUAAUUCACAUAGAUACUUGGGGACCUUAUCACACACCCACAUAUAAUGAUUCCAAAUAUUUCUUGACCAUUAUUGAUGAUUUCUCAAGGGCCACUUGGACCCAUCUUAUGGGAGCCAAGAGUAAUGCUUUUGAUUUACUCAAGGCUUUCAUUGCCAUGGUUGAAACUCAAUUCCAUACUAAGGUUCAGGCUGUCAGAAGUGAUAAUGCCUUAGAAUUGGGGUCUACUACUUCAGGUUCUAUUUUCUUCUCUGAAAAAGGAAUUCAACAUCAGAUUUCCUGUCCACACACUCCUCAACAGAAUGGAGUGGUGGAAAGGAAGCACAACCAUUUGCUUGAAAUUGCCAGAGCCCUGUUGUUUCAAUCCCAUCUUCCCAUUAGAUUCUGGGGUGACUGUCUUCUAACUGCAACCUACUUGAUCAAUAGAUUUCCAUCCCCUCUCCUGAAUCACAAAAGCCCUUAUGAGUUGUUAUAUGGUUCUGUUCCCUCUUACUCUCAUCUUAAAGCCUUUGAUUGUUUGUGUUACUCUACUGUAACUAAGUUGCACAAGGACAAAUUUUCUCCCAGAUCUAUCCCAUGUGUAUUUGUGGGUUAUAACUUUACUAAGAAAGGUCAUAAACUCUAUAGCCUCACCUCCAAAACCUGCUUCCACUACAACAAAUAUGAUAUUUAGCUACAAAAUUUUUAGCUACUAUACAAAAUUUGUCACUAAUUGUUAACUUUUUGUGACGAAAGUUACCUUUUUGUGUCUAAAUACACGAGUCACAUACUUUUAGUGACGAAGUACAAAAUUUUGUAGCAAUGUUUUGUCCACUAAUGUUUCCCUCCAAAAAAUGAGUUGGCGCCAUUUACUAAGAAAUAUUUAGCUACAAAGAUAAUGCUAUUAGUGACGAAACUUUUUUUGCAUUGACAUCGUAUAUCAUUCGUGACGAAAUAUCUUUUGUCUUAAUAAAUGCUUAAAUUCAGAUACGAAAAAGUUUUGUCACAAUUUUGUUUUUGUUAAAAUAGCAAAAUUUAAAAAUUUGUAGCUAAAUAAUGCGAACUUUAGCUACAAAACAUCGUACUUAUUGUGACCAUAGUUUUUGUCACUAAUAAAGUAGAUAAUUUGUGACGAUCAUUUUGUUGUCCUUAUAUAAUACUUAAUUUAGCCACGAUGAGGUUUUGUCUCAAAAAAUAUAGUAUCUAGCUAGCUACAACUAGAAAUUCGUCACAACUCACUCAAUUUUUUGUGAUAAAUAUUAGAUUUCAUAUUUGGAUGUACUAAUAUAGGGAUGAUAUUCAAAUUUUAUAACAAACUUUUUCUAAUAAGAUUUCCUACCAAAAAAAUAUUAAAUACCAUUUACGGAUUAAUAUUUACCUACAAAAAUGAAAUUGCUGAUCACACAUUAUUUUAUCGUUGACCUUGUGUACGAUUUGUGACGAAAAUAAAAAUAUUUAUUUCAAGUUGUUACAAUUAAAUUCAGAAAGAAGAAAAAAGGUUAGUAACCACCUAUUGGUUUUUAUAUUAUGAUAAUUAGAAUUUAUAGUCAAAUUGUGCAUUUUUUGGCCAUGAAAAAUCUUGUACCUAUUCAUGGUGAUAAUUGUUGGUAUUAUUUAUCUAAACGGGGGGGAGGGGGGGGGGGGGGUUGAUUGCAUUAUUUCACAGAAUUUACAAAAUUAUGUGUCUAAUUAACUACAACUAGAAUUUCUAACACUAUAAAAGCAAAAAAGAAAUAUAUUCAAAUAUGCCACUGAACUUUGAGAAAGACCCAAAUAUAUUAUGUGUCAAUAGUUGAGGUCAAAUAUACUCAAUGUUGUUACAUAAUUUGUUUAAAUAUACCCUUAUUCGAAGAUGUCCAACAUGUGAUUUUUAUUUUUAUUUUUUGCAAGGGAAAAAGGCUCAGAAUUGACUUUAAACUAGCGUACAUUACAAACAGUUUGACAUAUAACUAUAUAUAGUCAAACAUCUCUAUCAUAAGUAUACUCUAUUAUAACGACCCAGUCGGUCGUUUCAUGAGUUACCGCUCUGUUUCCCCCAAUUCUGCUUUUUAUUGCCUUGUUCAGCUGUAUUUUGUGUUAUCAGGUUGGUUGGCUCGGGUUGGAAGAGGUUUUGGUAAGGUUUGAGGCACUUAGUCUCUUUUGAGUAAGCUUAAGUUGGAAAAGUCAACCGGAUGUUGACUUAUGUGUCAAAGGGCUCGGAUUUAAGUUCCGAUAGCUUCGGGAGGUAAUUUGGGUUUUAAGAGUGUGAUCGGAAUGUGUUUUGGAGGUACAAAGUAGAUUUAGGCUUGAAUUGGCGAAAUUAGAAUUUUUGCGUUUUCCGGUUGAUAGGUAAGAUUUUGAUAUAGGGUUCGGAAUGGAAUUCCGGAAGUUGCAGUAGGUCCGUUGUGUCAUUUGAGAUGUGUGUGCAAAAUUUCAGAUCAUUCGGACGUGGUUUGGUAGACUUUUUGAUCGAAAGCGGAAUCUAGAAGAUUUUGGAAUUCUUAGGCUUGAAUCCGAUGCAAAUUUGCUGUUUUGAUGUUGUUUUGAGUGUUCCAAAGGUUGGAACAAGUUUGAAUGAUAUUAUGGGAUAGGUUGGAAUGUUUGGUUGAGGUCCCGAGGGUCUCGGGUGAGUUUAAGGUGGUUAAACGGACCAUUUCAUGUUGAAAAAAAUUGUAGAAAAAUCUGUUGUAGUGUUUCAGACAGCAGUGCCUCGCGUUUGCGAGUGGACCCUCGCAUUCGCGAAGGGCUAGAGUGUGAGGCUGAAGGUUUGUCCUUCGCGAAGGAGGUCCCGCAUUCGCGAAGGAUUGGGGUCGUCAAGCUACGUGUUCGCGAGAGGAGAGCCGCGUUCGCGAUGGGCUGGGAAGCUGAGCUCUCGCGUUUGCGAGGGUGGAGACGCGUUCGGGAAAAAGGGAUUUUGUUCAACUUAAAUUUGAACUUAACGAAUGCGAGGCUUUGACCACGUUUGCGAUAAAGAAAUGUUAAGUGCUGGGCAGAAUGUUUAAAAGACCUAUUUCCGCGAUUUGGGGUCUAAGUUCCUCCAUUUUUGGGCGAUUUUGAAGCUUUUUGAAGGGGAUUGAAGAAGGAAUCAAGGGGGAACACCUUGAGGUAAGAUUUAUGGACUUAACACUCAAUCCUAAUGUAAUUUAUACCUAAUUAAUCAUGAAAAUUGUUGAAUUUAAGCCUAAAUAUUGAAGAACUAUGGCUUGUAAUUGGAGACCUAAAAUUAGGGAUUUGAGGGACCAUUUGUGAUUGGAUUUUGAUGAUUUUGAUAUGAAUGAACUCGGGGAGUGAUAAGGAGUCUAUUGAUAUAAUUUUUAUCGGGAUCCGAGAUGUGGGCCUGGGGGUCGGAUUUGGCCAAUUUUGGGAUUUGUGUUGUAAUUUGAUUUCUUUCGAGUGAGCUUUGUUACCUUAGCAUAUUUUGAUGGGUUUGCACUAAUUUUGGUUAGAUUUGGAGCAUCCAAAGGCCGAUUCGAGAGGCAAAGGCAUCGCGGGCUAGAGUUUGGACCGGAUAGAGGUGAGUAAUGAUUGUAAAUAUUGUCCUGAGGGUAUGAAACCCAGAAUUUUACAUCGUUGUGCUCUAUUUGGUUGAGAUAAAAUAUUCAAUUGUUAAGUUCAUAGACUUCCUUUAGAGAAAACUAACGGAUACCCUUGCUGAAAGUUGGCAAAAAUCUUCGCCACUUGAUCAAGCGUUAUAUUACCAGAAGUGACUGAAAUCUAACAAUCAAGCUACAAUUAUAGAUUUCUUUCAUUAAAUUUGAAUUUUUUUUGUAUCCAAUUAGUUUUCCAAUAUAUAUGUGUAUUAGAUAGUUUAAUUAUUUGUAGGCACAAUAAAACUAGUUACCAUGGAUUUUAAUAAUACAUUAGCUUUUUUUAAAAAUUUAAUUUGUAAAAUAUGAAUAUAUUUUGAGAUUUUAAAUUUAAAUAUUUUAUUUUCUUUUAUUACAUAAAAUGUUUGAAAAAAUGACUAUUUUUAUAAUUUUGUAUGUAACAGUCAAACAAUAUCUAAAUGUAAAAUAAUAUUACAAGUGUAUAAUAAUCAUUUCGCUAAAGGAUAUACAAACAAACAAUAUUAUUAUAGAGAGAUUUGACUAUAAUUAAAAAACUUGGCUGAUAUAUUUUGUUUGUUAUUUAAUAAAAUUUAAAAUAUAAUAAAUUGGCAACAAUACAUUUUUAUUGUUGCCAAAACGUUUGGUAUUGUUGGUGAAACACUUGAUUUUCUCUACAACUAAUUACGUAUAUUUAGGGGCUACUGUGACAAUAUAUAUAUAUAUAUAUAAGAUAAUUUACUAAAAAUUUAUAAAUAUUUAACGAUAAAUUUAAUUAUGAUCAUAAAUUUACUUAAGGCAGUUGUAGGAAAUCAUAAACUUGUAUGGAGUAUUGAAUAAAAAAAUUAGGACCUAAAUUUUGGCGUAAUUUUUUUUGUUUCUUUUCAACUUUCCGCCAAAAAGCAAAUGCGACAAAACUUUUUUUUUCCUCAUACUUUUCACGUUGGCUCUAGGUUUUCUCCUUUCAAUUACACAGUUACAAUUGAAAUUUUUGUUUGGUAUCUCUCUUCAUGUUCCCACCUCAAAAUCUAGCUUACUUCUGAAGGUUAAUUUAUCUCCUCUUUUGUUAAUGUAUUUAUAUUGAAGAACAAUUUUAAGAAUUCAAACAAUCACUCAAAUUCUUUACAAUCUUAUUUAUUUAGGGGAUUUUGUUCUUCGUUUUGUGUUUUUGGGAAGAUUUUAAUCAUCCAAAGUCCAUCGAAGAUAUGUACAAAACAAUUACGCCUACUUUCUACUCCAAGGUUUGUGUUAGGGUUUCUCUUUUUGCUCCGAAUCGUUGUCUUUCCAUACAGUAAAUAAGUAAUUUUAAUUUGUGAUAGCCAUCUUGCUUUUGAGAAAAUGAGGAAUAGGUAAACAUGAAUCGACCAUUUAUGCUAAUUUUAAGAAUUCCUCUGUUAUGCUCUUACGUGAAUAGGACAAGUGCUUUGCUUUGCUAGUUUCCAAUUUUCACAAUUUUCCUAUCGUAUUGAUAUGGGUAGUGGGUAAGAUCAAGAAAUCUUUAUUCUUUCUUUAGCUCUUCCUAAAUUUCUUUUUGGUAUUUCUUUGUUAAGCAUAUGAUUUCCCAAAAUGUCAAAAUGGGUAUUGGGUAGUUGAAUAUAUUUGAAGUAUCACUUUAAGUUUUUCAUGAAAAAUUUUACUUUCAACAUUUUCUAACUUUAUUUAGUGUAUUUUGGUAGUUUAUGAUGUAACAUACAAUGUGCAUUUAGAUUAAAAAUAUGAGGAAAGAUAAAUAUCAUGUGUAACCUAUUAUAAUUGCAGAACUUGUUCAUAGUUUUGUUUUAUACUUUGCCAAUUACUAGGUACUAGUCAGCCAUAUUAAAAGUUAGAGCUAUAAUAGUUAUACCUGCGGUAACUUUUCUAGUAAACUUGGAAUCAGAUAUCCUAGAAAAACAGAGUAGAAUUGUCGUCGGUCUUCCUUUGACAACUCUUUCUAUAAGCUUAGUAGUCUAGCUAUAGAUUACAAUUGAAAGUUAACACCAAUCACCAAUUCAUAUCAGGAUUAUCUUUAGAGGGAAAGAUAAUAUUUUGAGAAAAUCUCAUCUUUGAGAUCCUUAGGCACUGUUGGAAGGAGGUUUAGCAGCAGUUGUUAUAACACUUUUGCUCGACAAGCUCAACACCACCAUUGGAUUAUCUCUUAAUCAUCAAGUGCUUUCAGAUGAAUCUUUUCGGAUUGUAUCUCUAUUUUCUUGAAAAAUGCUAUUUUUAUUCUUCCCUUUUUCUGCUUUUAAUUGCCUAAUGCAUAAAAUAGGGUAUAAAUUCAAAAAAUUAAUUUGGAAGUGGCUAAUUCUUAUUAACGUUUUAAGUCCUCUUUUCUGCUAAAUUUGUUGUAUUUUGCAUCAUUAGUUACCCUCAUUGAAGUAGUUGCUUCCAAUUUAGUCUCUUAGGAAGUGAAGGUGAACAAAAUAUAACAAGUCCAAGAGCCUCUCACAAUUUUUGUUUCACUUUAAUAUUUCUGGAUUUAUACUCUGGUUAUGUGAUUUAUAUGCAGUAAUAAUUUACAAACAACUGUAGUUACAUUUGCAAUGAAGAAAAAUGAAAGUCACUGUGUAUAAGAUGCUUGGAAGUAGGGGCAAGUAAGAAAACCAUUAUCGGCUCCAUUUUGGUGCUCAAGUGAAAUGUGUAGGUAUUAUUAUCAGCUUCCUACUGUUCUUGAUUUUUAUAUCCUAAUCAUUCUGUUUUUCUUGUUAUUAUCAGCUCCAACAAAUUUGUUUUCUUGUUCAACAUUUCGAGGGUCAACUGCCACCUAAUUUUUCCAACUCUUGAAUCAAUCAGGUAAAUUUACUACAAGUUACUAUUCUAUAGAGUAUUAUUUUUAAUUUGAUAUACUAUUCAUGGUUGAAGGAUUGAUUUGAUUUUUUAUAUAUAAAAUUACCAAUAAUUGCUAAACAUCCGUAGUUGCUACUAUAAGUAGAAGAGGAGGUAUGGAAAUAGGACUGUUAAAUAUUUUAAGUGCCUUUAAAACUGAGAAUUGGUGUAAGGGAUUAACAGAGUACUUAUACUUUAUCUUUCUUCUAGUUUGGGAAGCUAGAUGUGUUCAAGUCUUCUUGACCUUUGGAUUUAUGGAAAUAAUUUAGCUAUUUUGACAUUGAACAAAAAAG